RNAcentral lists this unclassified non-coding RNA (262 nucleotides) under Hevea brasiliensis (rubber tree). The record is from RNAcentral. Lineage: Eukaryota; Viridiplantae; Streptophyta; Magnoliopsida; Malpighiales; Euphorbiaceae.
CUCUCUCUCUCUCUCCCUCCCUCUUCCGCCCUCUCUUCUUUCUUUUUGCUGAGCUCUAAUUUAAACUCUUCUUAACCAUAAUUUCCCUCCUUUUAAAUGUUGAUCCUAGAUCUUAUCAAUUGCUUAAAAUUUGUCCACCAUAAAAUUUUUGGUAUUCUAGUUUCUGCUUGCAAAUUGGUACUUCUAGAAGUAAACUUGUUUUUAAUUUUUUCUAGUGCCUUUUUCUUUCUCCUAUCUCAGAAAUGUAUAACAAUGUUGGAGU